GGCGCUGUAAGCCUUGCGAUGGGCUGCUCUCAAGUACAAAGGCGAGCAGCCGUCCUGCCGCGCGCUAGCGAUGACCUCGCCGACCUUGUCGACGACCACGACGGCGACCGGCGGCAGUCCUUUCUGCUCGGCGUAGGUCAGCACGGCAUCGACGAUCUUUCGGGCGUCAUCGAGGUUGAGGACGUUGUACUCGAGCGGCAUCAGUGCGCCCCCGGCUUACCGCGGUGCUCGAAGCCUUCGCCGAGCAGGCUGAACGCUUUCUCGGCGAACUCGCCGUCGGAAACGUUGCCACCGCCGCCGGCAACAGCGACGGCGCCGACUACCUCCCCGCCGUGCAAGACGCACAUUCCGCCCGGCAGCGUAGAGAGCAUCGGAUCGUUCCAGUCGUGUGGGCCGCGCU
This 400-nucleotide unclassified non-coding RNA is filed under the name uncultured fungus. Its description in RNAcentral is "sequence contains ITS1". Lineage: Eukaryota; Fungi. The record is from RNAcentral.